This 253-nucleotide ribosomal RNA is filed under the name uncultured bacterium. Its description in RNAcentral is "partial 16S ribosomal RNA". It matches the Rfam family "Bacterial small subunit ribosomal RNA", at positions 524 to 776 of the family's 1533-position model. The record is from RNAcentral.
UACGAAGGGGGCUAGCGUUGCUCGGAAUGACUGGGCGUAAAGGGCGCGUAGGCGGAUGACAUAGUCGGGCGUGAAAUUCCUGGGCUCAACCUGGGGACUGCGUUCGAGACGUGUUGUCUUGAGUUCGGAAGAGGGUCGUGGAAUUCCCAGUGUAGAGGUGAAAUUCGUAGAUAUUGGGAAGAACACCAGUGGCGAAGGCGACAUACUGGUCCAUUACUGACGCUGAGGCUCGAAAGCGUGGGGAGCAAACAGG